This is a long non-coding RNA of Rhodamnia argentea, 156 nucleotides long. RefSeq lists it as uncharacterized. NCBI's taxonomy places the organism in Eukaryota, Viridiplantae, Streptophyta, Magnoliopsida, Myrtales, Myrtaceae. The record is from RefSeq and is a predicted model, not a curated record. The transcript is spliced from 3 exons.
GAACUUUUGAUAUAUCAACCUCUGGGACUUUGAUAAAAACAUAAAAAAAAUAAAGAAGCAAGUCAUGCUGCUGGUCUUUAACGCAGAGAUUCUUGACACUAAUGUUAUCAUGGGUGAGAAAAACAGCACCAUAAGAAAGGAGGAAACUAGCUGUAC